Long non-coding RNA from Bos taurus (domestic cattle), 2907 nucleotides. Lineage: Eukaryota; Metazoa; Chordata; Mammalia; Artiodactyla; Bovidae. The record is from Ensembl.
GUUUGCAGUAUACAUAUAUCUGAGCAUUCAUCUUUCUGAUAGCAAACUUCUCAAGGAUUUUUUUCUCCUAUUAGAGGUCGCAGUAAGGGUUUGCAACCAAUUUGCACUGUCAGAAGAAAAGCACUGGAUGGAGCCGAAAGAGGAGUGUAGUGCUGGAGACUCUUGAGAGUCCCUUGGACAGCAAGGAAAUCAAACCCUAAAGGAUAUCAAUCCUGAAUGUUUAUUGGAAGGACUGAUGCUGAAGCUCCAAAACUCUGACCACCUGAUGAGAAGAGCUGACUCAUUAGAAAAGACCCUGAUGCCAGGAAAGAUUGAGGGCAAAAGGAGAAGGCAGCGGGAGAGGAUACGAUGGUUAGAUAGUAUCACCAACUCAAUAGACAUGAGUUUAAACAAACUCUGGGAGAUGGUUAAGGACAGAGAGCCUGGCAUGCUGCAAUCCAUGGGGUCUCAAAGAGUCAGACACCACUGAGUGACUGAACAACACUACUCUGAGGUGGCCAGGGACAGUAACUGUAUUACUUCAUCCUUAUAUCCCCAAUCCUGGGCACAGAAUAAGCUCUCAAUAAAUACAUGUUGAAAACUGAAGAAGGAUGAUCAAUUAGAUAGAUAUGUGAUUUAAUUUAAAAUAUCCCAACUCACAAAUGUCACAUGUUAUUAAAGGAAAUCUGUUUCUGAUUUGUUUUGUGGGUGUGGUUCACCCAGCAUUGGUGACACAUCGGGAAAGAUAACAAACAGACUGAGAACAAGCUGCAAAAAGUGAUCUCACUGUAAACAGCAUGGGUGGGCCCGGUAGGUCAGUUCUCAUACAAGCACAGUCAUCAUAGAAAGCUGUCAUAUGACUAAGAACUGCGAACAGAAAUCAAAGAGAUUUCAUCAUUAAACAAAUAGGAAACAUCAAAUAGGUAAUGGAAAAUGCUGAAUGAGGAUAGGAAGAAACAUUUUUAGUUAUUUUUAUAACUUUCUGCCCUUUCAAUCCUUUUCACAUAUUGACCUCUCUCUCUUCCUAUUCCCCUUGCCCUCUUCCAUCCCUACCUUACAAGGCAGGGAUGUUUCCCUCUGAUCCAUUCAAGAGCACCAUCUCUGGAGGUUAAGUAACUUGCCCAAGAUCACCUAAGAAGAGACAGAGCCAAGAUUUGAAAAAUUGGACACCAGAGCUGGUGGCUAUUACCAUUCUACUAAACUAGAUGAUGCAGUAGUUACAUGGCAGGAUAAAAGCAAAUGCCUUGAAGUUGCCAUGGGUUUUUCCGCUAUUCUGUCACUAAGCAGCAUUAUCCUUCAACUAAAAGAUUCCAAGAUGUCAACCUUCCUCACCAGAAAAAGCCCCCUAAAUGUUUCCAAAAUAUUCAAAGAAAUUUGAAACAAGAAAACACCAAAGAUCCAGGAAUCUCCAGGAAUAAAGAAUAGAGGUGGGAGGGGAGAGGGUGAGCAUUUUACCCACCCACUUAACCUCAUUCAUAAAAUGGGAAUAAUAAUGAUGUGUAUUUUGUAGGUUUCCAUAGAAUUGAAUAAGUUCAUUAAAACACUUAGAAUAAUGUUUGGCACACUAUAAGCAUUUAAUAACAAGUUAACUAUCAUUUAUCUUUUUUCUAUCAGGGAUAGUGGAUUGUUUUCUUUUCUGAUAUUUUUUCUAAAAAAUAUUUCAAUACAGCUACAUGUUUUCAAUUCCUGUCACCCAAAAAUGUGAUUUCUAGCAUGUACUUACAUUUUUUAAAACUCUAUAGAACUUAUUUGGAUAUUCCAUGUUGUAAAACAACACAGCUCACCUCACUCUUUUAACUAGGAAUUUAUAUUGCUUUAACAAAAAUGAAUUAAAAGAUUAUCGAUCUUGUUGCAAAGGCAGAAUAGUGAGAUGCUUAAAAGCUCAGACUCUGGCAUUCUAACUCUAGAAGAAUCCCAGUUCUUCCACUCACUAGCAGAGUGACUUUGGGCAAAUUAUCUACCCUCUGUAUACCUCAGUUUUCUCACCUAUAAAUUAGGAUACUAAAAAUAGUAUCUACUUCAUAGACUUCUUAUGAGGACUAAAAAGUCAUUUCAAGUAAAGUUCUAGGAAUAUACCUUGUACAUAGCAUGCACUUAUAUGAGUUUUUAUUUCUCCUAUAUUUUGUCCAUAUAGUUGGAAAAUGUAUUUUGCCAAUUGAUUUUUUAACAUUUAGCAGCAAAAUGUCCAUAGGGAAACAUUCAAAUUCCCCUACUCUAAAUGCCUAAAAUAUAUUUAACAGGUGGUUGAAAUUCAGACCUUUCUAACUAUCUGCCUAAUUUUAGUAUAUUAUAAUUAUUGCUUUAAUUCUAUUUUAAUCCUCAGAUACUUUGUUCAGGGUAGUUGCCGUUUACUGUCUCAGCCUGUUACUUUUCCUAAAACUCAUGCUCAAGUUUAAAUUUGUUUAUAUAAUUUUAUAUUAAGCCCCUUUCUAUCAAAGCAAACUCUUAAGGUAUAGUAAAUGGUAAUAAAUGCUUAGAAUAUUUUAUCUGUUUGUACAGACUCUGCUAAACAUCAUAAGGCUUAGAGCUCAAAAAUUAAAAUACAUGUAUAUAUUUUUAAAUUUUAUGCUUAACCACUGUUUAUGAGUGUUGAAGUUAGCAACAGUCUCAAAUCAAGCAGAGAAAUAUGCUUGUGACUCAUCACAUUUUCAUGCUGCUUAAUUUUUAGGCUUCCUGUGUGAAUUAGCUAAGAGAUACAGCAAUUUAAAUAAUAAUGACUAAAACCUUUUCUAUUUCCUGUUUAAUUUCUUUCUGAAGGAAAGUAUUGGUGUUUGAAUAGUUCUCAGAUGUUCUCUAUAUAAAGAAAACCAGGGAAUUAGAAUUCUCUUAACAAGCAUAUUUUCUAGACCUAAGAAUUUUAGAUGAAGGAAAAAAGUUAAUAGAAAAAAAAAUUUUUAUUUAUUUAGAAAUAAUAGGUCUAUGUAGCUC